RNAcentral lists this ribosomal RNA (448 nucleotides) under uncultured bacterium. Its description in RNAcentral is "bacterial SSU rRNA". It matches the Rfam family "Bacterial small subunit ribosomal RNA", at positions 331 to 793 of the family's 1533-position model. The record is from RNAcentral.
CCAGACUCCUACGGGAGGCAGCAGUGGGGAAUAUUGGGCAAUGGAGGCAACUCUUACCCAGCAAUGCCGCGUGAAUGAAGAAGGUCUUCGGAUUGUAAAGUUCUUUAAUUGGGGACGAAAAAAAUGACGGUACCCAAGGAAUAAGCCCCGGCUAACUACGUGCCAGCAGCCGCGGUAAUACGUAGGGGGCAAGCGUUAUCCGGAUUUACUGGGUGUAAAGGGCGUGUAGCCGGGCCGGCAAGUCAGAUGUGAAAUCCCAAGGCUCAACCUUGGAACUGCAUUUGAAACUGUUGGUCUUGAGUAUCGGAGAGGCAGGCGGAAUUCCUAGUGUAGCGGUGAAAUGCGUAGAUAUUAGGAGGAACACCAGUGGCGAAGGCGGCCUGCUGGACGACAACUGACGGUGAGGCGCGAAAGCGUGGGGAGCAAACAGGAUUAGAUACCCCUGUAA